ACCAAAUAUUCCAAAUUCUCCAUAUUCAGACUUGCACUGAGGUAUCCUGCCGCUAGGAAUGCUACAUGCCAGCUUGUCAAGUCCCCUGAAAUAUUGCAGAGCUUAUGAUGCUUUUGCUGUGGAUUAUUGAUUGGACACCGCGGUCGGCACAGCAUUGGUGAUUCUGCUCCUGCCUUCCCUUCCAGCUGCCUGCAGACAUGCCGCUGAAUGCAAUCCUGAUGGCUGAGGCCUAAAGGGAAGAGCCGCCCUCUCUCCAGAAGACGACGAGGACUUGGUUGACACGUGGCAACAGGAAAACAGAGACACGUGGUUCACUAUUUAUGUUACAGAUUAGCUGCUGCAAAUGUUUCAAGCUGUGUAUCUGUGUCCUGCUCUGAGAGAGAAGCAGAGAAAUGCUGUGCAUUUUGGUUAUGAUCUGGGAAGUAGCCUGUACACUCUGGCUCUGGGAGGUAAACCGCGUUUGUUAAGAAUAACUUGGAUCUGGCCUCUAAUGUCUGCUUAAAAGAAAAGGGAAAUCCAAACACAGGUUCUUACAAAUACAGGACAGCAUAUCAUAAACAAACUAUUCACCAUUAGGAUAAAAAGGCAAAUGGCAGUGUGGAUCCAGUCUCUGAUUAUAACUAGAGGACACACACGUUUUACUUAUGGAUAAAGUUUAAAAAAAGCCAUGGUCAGUUCUGAAAAAGGAUUUAGAGGAAGAACGGAAAACAAUUAUUUCACAAAAUCACGUGAAUCUGGUUACCAGAGUCCCCGCAAAAUGCUUAAGCAAAAGGACCUCACAACUCGCAUUUACUGGGUUGUUUCAAACAUCUGUACAUUUGAAAUAUACUUCUGAUUUGUUAAAUCAAAUGUCUCAAAAAUCUUGAAAUAGCAGGCUGUGUAAAAAGAAGCGAUAAAAGUCAGCAAUAUUAUCACGCUCUUAGAAAUUAAUGCAUCCAUUAAAGAAGUACAGAACUUGGAAAGCCUUCGGUCCAGAUGGCCAUUUCAUUAGGUGUAAAUUCAGCUUCCUUUCCCCUCCAUCUCAAAAGGCAGUUCUGCAAAAUCUGAAGAGGAAGAGAACCACCACAGUUCUGCUGAAAGGUUGAAGGGUGCGACGUUGAAAAUAGCUGUUCCUUUUCCGUGCAGUCUGACAACAAACAAAGCAGCUCGCUGUGGAAGGAUCUACAAAACACGUGGAUCAGCCGGCCACAUUUCUUGGGUAGGUGUAGACAGACUGCAGCGAUAGCUGUGGGUCAGCUGCUGCACCACCAUCCUGCACCAGACUGGGGAAAAGCAUGUGUCUGUGAAACUAAAACAACUAAGGAUAAGAAGUGACAAAAAUGUAGCUCUUGAUUCUGAAAUAUGAAGUCUAUUUAAACACCCUUAUUACCAAUACAAGAAAGACACUAGUGAAGCAAUAAGGUACCCAAGAAUUUUUGAUGCACUAUAAAAAAUUGGAUUAUAUGCGACUAAAAUGACAGAAUUUUAAUUUCUUACCUAAUGCAAGUACAGAAAUAUUUUCUCCCGCUAACAUGCCCUAAAAGUAGAGUUGCACGCACAUACUUCAGCUGCCUCUGACUGUGCUUCCUGAGCUUCCUUUCCUUUCAUUUGUGUACAUGGAAUAAGUUUCUUUAUAGUUUGUGGUACUGAAAGUUAUGCAACAGGGGAUUUUAAUUUUGUCAUCCAUUGGGGCUUCAACCUACUCACUGACUCAUGGGAAGAAUACGAGGAUUUUUAAUGAUCUCUUCUUCAGAAAGAAUCACUUGCUGAAGUAAAAUUCGCUACAAGUCUGUAGAAACAAUUGUCCAUCUGUUGCCUCGAGAUGUGGAAGCAAACAAGAAGCAAGGGAGCAGAAUAAAUUGUUCUGUGUGGAGGGUUUCCAGCCCACCCAGUGCAGGACUGUGCCCAGAGGCGGCUCCCGGUGCCCUCGGCAAGUGGAGGCAGAGCCGAGGCACGGGCGUGAGCCUCUGUCACACCUGGGGGCACCUGGAAAGUAGCAGAGGACCAGUGUCACAGUGAAGAGCUGCUGUUCACUAAAACAUGCAUGGUGGGGUUAGUUCAGUCUUCUUUGAAAGCUGAUUUUUUCUGAAAGAGCAGCACCAAAAGCUGGAAGCAGUAACUCCAUUGUGAGGGCUCUGUUGCGUCUGUAACAAAGGCUCUGCUGUGCUCACACACCACAGCCUCCAAAGCUCAGGAUGUUUUCAGCCUAUUUACUGCUAUUCAUAGUGGGGUAAAUCUGGCAUGGCUGCUGGAACAUUGAUUAAGGUCAGUUUUAAUCACAUGGAUCCUUGAUACAAAAAUAUACUUUUUUUUUUUGAUGGUGGCAUGUGCAGCAGAGGAAAUUAACUACAACUCUGAACUUCCAGCGUGACCUUAAACAACAUCACUCUGCUCAGACUCUAGCCUGGCAAAUCACUGAGCAGCGGACGCGUGGAGGAGGCAGAAAGCCUGUUACAUCUCGAUAUUCAAACCAGCUCAGCUCCAGCCACCGUAUAAAUUAGAGCAACUAUUUAGGUCACUCUAUCUUAGAGCACUGAAAGCCCCAAAAACCUUCUGCACAAGGGCAAAAAGAGGAGGACAGAGGCACACGGGAACCUGGACAGGGGGUGUCUGCUAAGACAAGGAGCUGUACUUGCAAGGUGGGAGAGCGCGGCUUUGUCCGAGCUGAGAGCAGCUCUGCAGGAGGAGAAGCCUCCUUCACACGGUUCAGUGGCUUCCGCUGGAUUUUCACUUACAUCACGCACCCAGUGUUACAAAAUAGUAUUUGUGCUACAGUCAGAAACUACAAAGGUAGAGUCCUAACUAAAUGUUGGUCAGUAGGAUAAACGUCUUCCCCUUGUCGUACCUUCUGACCUCAAAUACACAAGCAUACACUUAAAAAGGUGCCCUGAAAGUUGCGUCUGGAGCACUCUUAAAUCACUAAUGCACAGAAUUAAAACACUGUUAAAGAGUUUUA
Struthio camelus australis is the source of this 2935-nucleotide non-coding RNA. Lineage: Eukaryota; Metazoa; Chordata; Aves; Struthioniformes; Struthionidae. The record is from RefSeq and is a predicted model, not a curated record.